This 294-nucleotide ribosomal RNA is filed under the name uncultured bacterium. Its description in RNAcentral is "partial 16S ribosomal RNA". It matches the Rfam family "Bacterial small subunit ribosomal RNA", at positions 775 to 1067 of the family's 1533-position model. The record is from RNAcentral.
GGAUUAGAUACCCUGGUAGUCCACGCCGUAAACGAUGUCAACUAGCCGUUGGGGAUAUUUAAAUUCUUAGUGGCGCAGCUAACGCAAUAAGUUGACCGCCUGGGGAGUACGCCGGCAACGGUAAAACUCAAAGGAAUUGACGGGGGCCCGCACAAGCGGUGGAGCAUGUGGUUUAAUUCGAUGCAACGCGAAGAACCUUACCAGGCCUUGACAUCCUCGGAACUUGUCAGAGAUGACUUGGUGCCUUCGGGAACCGAGUGACAGGUGCUGCAUGGCUGUCGUCAGCUCGUGCCG